GUCGGUUUUCAGUUUCCGAAUAAAAUGAAGUAUAGUAUUUGUUUUUAUCGGUUUAAUGUCUCGUAGGUUGUUUAUUCCAGAUCGGUGUAUUAGGUAGGUGGUUGGAACAAAAAAACACAGUACGAGCUGGUUCUAGGUGCUCUGCGUAUUGAUGUGGUAUUGCAGUGCUUCCACAGACAGUGCACCGUUU
Pongo abelii (Sumatran orangutan) is the source of this 190-nucleotide small nuclear RNA. Its record names the gene U2. It matches the Rfam family "U2 spliceosomal RNA". Rfam says of the family: U2 is a small nuclear RNA (snRNA) component of the spliceosome (involved in pre-mRNA splicing). Lineage: Eukaryota; Metazoa; Chordata; Mammalia; Primates; Hominidae. The record is from Ensembl.